This 445-nucleotide long non-coding RNA is filed under the name Citrus sinensis (sweet orange). RNAcentral's name for it is "long non-coding RNA (CSIN_LNC001583)". Lineage: Eukaryota; Viridiplantae; Streptophyta; Magnoliopsida; Sapindales; Rutaceae. The record is from RNAcentral.
CAGUAACCAACUUUGACAUGAGUCGUUACGACGUAAAAAGCAUUGCCAACAGCAACCUUCCCAUCGGAGGAAUCACCGGCAAGUCCAAGAACUCAUCUGAAUCAGUUUCCGAUUGUAAGAGCCUGGAUGGAGGAAGCCGGUCGGACGAUCGGGAUAUAUCAUCUGCAUCAUCUCAUCUGGCUGCCUUUGCAUCAUCUCAUCCUGCUACCUCAACACUAAGCUUUGCAUUACCCAUCAAACAAGACCCAUCGGCAGAUUACUGGUCUAACCUCCUUGGAUACCAAAAUAACACUACUGCCACUCCUCUAACCAAUGCCAAGUGCCUAAGCAUAGCACCAACUUAUCUUCAGAGUCCCACAUCGUCACCAUCUUUCAACGUGGACUUCGCUGCAAAUCCAUCAUCAGCAGUCAAUGAAAGCAGUAAUAAUGGGUUAUUCAAUGUUGG